AACGACUCUCGGCAACGGAUAUCUCGGCUCACGCAUCGAUGAAGAACGUAGCAAAAUGCGAUACUUGGUGUGAAUUGCAGAAUCYCGUGAACCAUCGAGUUUUUGAACGCAAGUUGCGCCCGAAGCCUUUUGGCUGAGGGCACGUCUGCCUGGGCGUCACAC
This 162-nucleotide ribosomal RNA is filed under the name Senecio ochrocarpus. RNAcentral describes it as "5.8S ribosomal RNA". It matches the Rfam family "5.8S ribosomal RNA". Rfam says of the family: 5.8S ribosomal RNA (5.8S rRNA) is a component of the large subunit of the eukaryotic ribosome. It is transcribed by RNA polymerase I as part of the 45S precursor that also contains 18S and 28S rRNA. Lineage: Eukaryota; Viridiplantae; Streptophyta; Magnoliopsida; Asterales; Asteraceae. The record is from RNAcentral.